This 368-nucleotide unclassified non-coding RNA is filed under the name uncultured fungus. Its description in RNAcentral is "partial contains small subunit ribosomal RNA, internal transcribed spacer 1, and 5.8S ribosomal RNA". The stretch from base 1 to 73 matches the Rfam family "Eukaryotic small subunit ribosomal RNA", at positions 1759 to 1831 of the family's 1831-position model. Lineage: Eukaryota; Fungi. The record is from RNAcentral.
ACAAACUUGGUCAUUUAGAGGAAGUAAAAGUCGUAACAAGGUUUCCGUAGGUGAACCUGCGGAAGGAUCAUUACAAAUCAUGGGGGGGUGUGAGUUGGAGGAGGAGGGGGGGAGUUGAUGAUCUGGGCUUGAUCGGUUGAUCCGGACUCUUGAUUAGAUCGUUGAUCUGGGCUCUUGACUAGAUCGUUGAUCCGGACUCUUGAUUAGAUCGUCGAUCUGGACUCUGGAUCGAACUCCCUACCAUAUCCCCACCACUCUACACCGGAUCCACAUUUGCGCUUGUUGUGUUUGACAGAGUAAUAUACCCAAAUUAAAUGACAACUUUUAACAAUGGAUCUCUUGGCUCUUGCAUCGAUGAAGAACGCAGC